This 253-nucleotide ribosomal RNA is filed under the name uncultured bacterium. RNAcentral's name for it is "partial 16S ribosomal RNA". It matches the Rfam family "Bacterial small subunit ribosomal RNA", at positions 524 to 776 of the family's 1533-position model. The record is from RNAcentral.
UACAGAGGGUGCUAGCGUUGUUCGGAAUUAUUGGGCGUAAAGCGCGUGUAGGCGGCCAAGCAAGUCGGGUGUGAAAGCCCUCAGCUUGACUGAGGAAGUGCGCCCGAAACUACAUGGCUUGAGUACCGGAGAGGGUGGCGGAAUUCCCGGUGUAGAGGUGAAAUUCGUAGAUAUCGGGAGGAACACCAGUGGCGAAGGCGGCCACCUGGACGGCUACUGACGCUGAGACGCGAAAGCGUGGGGAGCAAACAGG